RNAcentral lists this transfer RNA (83 nucleotides) under Danio rerio (zebrafish). It matches the Rfam family "tRNA". Rfam says of the family: Transfer RNA (tRNA) molecules are approximately 80 nucleotides in length. Their secondary structure includes four short double-helical elements and three loops (D, anti-codon, and T loops). The record is from Rfam by way of RNAcentral. Lineage: Eukaryota; Metazoa; Chordata; Actinopteri; Cypriniformes; Danionidae.
GUCAGGAAGGCUGAGCGGUCUAAGGCGAUGCAAUCAGGUCGCAGUCUCCCCUGGAGGCGUGGGUUCAAAUCCCACUUCUGACA